GGUAACGGCCCACCAAGGCGACGAUCAGUAGCCGGACUGAGAGGUUGGCCGGCCACAUUGGGACUGAGACACGGCCCAGACUCCUACGGGAGGCAGCAGUGGGGAAUAUUGGGCAAUGGGCGCAAGCCUGACCCAGCAACGCCGCGUGAAGGAUGAAGGCUUUCGGGUUGUAAACUUCUUUUAACAGGGAAGAGAAGAAGACGGUACCUGUUGAAUAAGCCACGGCUAACUAC
RNAcentral lists this ribosomal RNA (233 nucleotides) under uncultured bacterium. Its description in RNAcentral is "partial 16S ribosomal RNA". It matches the Rfam family "Bacterial small subunit ribosomal RNA", at positions 256 to 504 of the family's 1533-position model. The record is from RNAcentral.